UACGUAGGGUGCAAGCGUUGUCCGGAAUUAUUGGGCGUAAAGAGCUCGUAGGCGGUUCGUCGCGUCGGCUGUGAAAACCCGGAGCUUAACUCCGGGCCUGCAGUCGAUACGGGCGGACUGGAGUUCGGCAGGGGAGACUGGAAUUCCUGGUGUAGCGGUGAAAUGCGCAGAUAUCAGGAGGAACACCGGUGGCGAAGGCGGGUCUCUGGGCCGAUACUGACGCUGAGGAGCGAAAGCGUGGGGAGCGAACAGG
Molecule: ribosomal RNA, 253 nt
Filed under: uncultured bacterium
Lineage: Bacteria
Description: partial 16S ribosomal RNA
Rfam family: Bacterial small subunit ribosomal RNA
Source: RNAcentral